UAGGGAAUAUUAGAAAUGGACGAAAGUCUGAUCUAGCAACACCGCGUAUGCGAAGAAGGCCUUCGGGUUGUAAAGCACUUUUUGGAAGGAUUAGGAAGGAAUGUACUUCCAGAAUAAGUCUCGGCUAACUACGUGCCAGCAGCCGCGGUAACACGUAGGAGGCAAACGUUAUCCGGAUUUACUGGGCGUAAAGCGCGUGUAGGUGGUUCUGUAAGUAGGGCGUGAAAGCUCCUGGCUCAACUGGGAGAGGCCGUUCUAAACUGCAGAGCUAGAGGAUGGUAGAGGGAGGUGGAAUUCCGGGUGUAGCGGUGGAAUGCGCAGAUAUCCGGAGGAACACCAGUGGCGAAAGCGGCCUCCUGGACCAUUCCCGACACUCAGACGCGAAAGCUAGGGUAGCAAACG
RNAcentral lists this ribosomal RNA (402 nucleotides) under uncultured prokaryote. RNAcentral's name for it is "bacterial SSU rRNA". It matches the Rfam family "Bacterial small subunit ribosomal RNA", at positions 355 to 774 of the family's 1533-position model. The record is from RNAcentral.